GCAGUAGCCCCGUCUUUUGCCUCUGUCCUGACGGAGGCGGGACUUCCUGUUUCGUGUUCCCUGGGACCUCCAAAGGGAUACUGGGGCUGAGAGGGAGAAUGUCUACGUCCUGUGGCAGCGGAUCAAGCAGUGCAUUAGUUCGGGCCUGCUUCCGUAGUUCUCACUGAUUCGUGCAGUUAUCCACACUCUCUCCAAAGGCGCUUUCAGGCGGCCUUGGUGUUCUGAGUGCGCAAGAGUGUGUGUCCGCAGGUGGAGAAAGGGCAUGGAGGAGCCGCCACCGGCUCCCCCGAGCUUCUUUUGCAGGGCACGGCGUCCUUCCUCCCGAGUCUUUGCUGCCGGAGCUGUGGCUGCCGACUCGGAAUCUCUGGUGGAGAAUCAGAAGUUGCCUUCCUUAGUCCAAGAACCCUAUUACCCGGAAUCCGGUUGGGAUCGCCUCCGGGAGCUGUUUGUCAGAGAUGAACAACAGAGAAUUUCAAAGGAACUUGAGAAUAUCUAUAGGGCAGCAGCUUCAGCAGGCAUCAUUGGCUGGGCAUAUGGUGGAAUACCAGCUUUUGUUCAUGCUAAACAACGCUACAUUGAGCAGAGCCAAGCAGAAAUUUAUCAUAACCGGUUUGAUGCUGUGCAAUGUGCGCAUCGUGCUGCCACACGAGGCUUCAUUCGAUAUGGCUGGCGCUGGAGUUGGAGAACUGCAGUGUUUGUGACUAUAUUCAACUGUCACUGGAGGUCUUUUCAGAAUGAAUUUAGGCAUUCGAGGCCUAGUGGCUGGUGGUAUAAUUGGAGGCUUGUUGGGCACUCCUGUAGGAGGCCUGAUGAUGGCACUUCAGAAGUACUAUGGUGA
RNAcentral lists this long non-coding RNA (838 nucleotides) under Ictidomys tridecemlineatus (thirteen-lined ground squirrel). RNAcentral describes it as "lncRNA (ENSSTOG00000003910.3)". The record is from RNAcentral. Lineage: Eukaryota; Metazoa; Chordata; Mammalia; Rodentia; Sciuridae.